AGACCCGAAACCCGGUGAUCUAGCCAUGGGCAGGUUGAAGGUUGGGUAACACUAACUGGAGGACCGAACCGACUAAUGUUGAAAAAUUAGCGGAUGACCUGUGGCUGGGGGUGAAAGGCCAAUCAAACCGGGAGAUAGCUGGUUCUCCCCGAAAGCUAUUUAGGUAGCGCCUCGUGAAUUCAUCUCCGGGGGUAGAGCACUGUUUCGGCUAGGGGGCCAUCCCGGCUUACCAACCCGAUGCAAACUGCGAAUACCGGAGAAUGUUAUCACGGGAGACACACGGCGGGUGCUAACGUCCGUCGUGAAGAGGGAAACAACCCAGACCGCCAGCUAAGGUCCCAAAGUCAUGGUUAAGUGGGAAACGAUGUGGGAAGGCCCAGACAGCCAGGAUGUUGGCUUAGAAGCAGCCAUCAUUUAAAGAAAGCGUAAUAGCUCACUGGUCGAGUCGGCCUGCGCGGAAGAUGUAACGGGGCUAAACCAUGCACCGAAGCUGCGGCAGCGACACUCAGGUGUUGUUGGGUAGGGGAGCGUUCUGUAAGCCUGUGAAGGUGGCCUGUGAGGGUUGCUGGAGGUAUCAGAAGUGCGAAUGCUGACAUAAGUAACGAUAAAGCGGGUGAAAAGCCCGCUCGCCGGAAGACCAAGGGUUCCUGUCCAACGUUAAUCGGGGCAGGGUGAGUCGACCCCUAAGGCGAGGCCGAAAGGCGUAGUCGAUGGGAAACGGGUUAAUAUUCCCGUACUUGGUGUUACUGCGAAGGGGGGACGGAGAAGGCUAUGUUGGCCGGGCGACGGUUGUCCCGGUUUAAGCGUGU
Molecule: ribosomal RNA, 809 nt
Filed under: Salmonella enterica subsp. enterica serovar Virchow
Lineage: Bacteria; Pseudomonadati; Pseudomonadota; Gammaproteobacteria; Enterobacterales; Enterobacteriaceae
Description: partial 23S ribosomal RNA
Rfam family: Bacterial large subunit ribosomal RNA
Source: RNAcentral